UCUCUCUCUGUCUCUCUCUCUCUCUCUUUCUCAGUCCCAGGGUUUCCAAGAUACCAGACAAAGAAAAGGAUGCUCCAGAGAGAGCUUGCAAGGAGGAGAUCUCAGAGGCCAGCUGACCCCCGUACCCUUCAUUUUAUGGAUGAGGAAACUGGGGCCCAAAUGGAGCGACUUGUCCAGAUCGGCAAUAAGCGGAAAAUGGUGAAACAAUCCAUGAUACAUGAAUGUGAUAGAAGGCAAAAAUGCAAAGAGGCAUGGGAAAGAUUCCUGCACUGAUGCAAGAUGUCAAGGGAGAAAAACCAAGAAAACAAGAUGCACGAUGACCCCAAUUAUGUAAAUGGAACAAACAACAAGAGAACUAGGAAAGGGCUACAGUUCAUUUCCCACUCCCAUGGAGUCCUUUUUUAUAGCUCUGCAAAUCAAAGUACAUCUUUCUACUGCCUAUCAGGCUCAGGCCAAUGGACAGACUCAGGACCCAACCAUACAUUGGGACAAGGCUUUCCUGUCACUGCCACUGAGGCCAAACUCCUGGUCCCUUUGCAAUACUGGUAUAGUUAGGGGAAGAGACAGACAGAUGGAGAGAGACAGACACCAGGCGUCUUUCAUCUAUUUGAUUUUUACCACGUGGCUAAUUGGACCAAAUUCUUUUGAGCGAUUAUGGUUCUCCCAGAAAACACUCUGUAAUGUUCUGGGAUUCGAUGACAAGUGGCACAAUAUCAUCUGCAAAAAUCUGCUCGUCUCCAUAGAGCAUCCCUCUUCACCUUGGACUCCCAAACGGAUUUAUUAACAGAACUGAGACAAACACGUUGGGCAGUGAAAUGGCUGGGCAUGAAAUCAGGAAAAUCCAGCUUGAGCUGCUAAGUAUGACCCUGGACAAAUCACUUGACCGCUGCUGCCUCAAUUUCCUCAACUACAAAAUCUGAAUCACUGAUUUUCUCCCAAAGAUAUUGUGAGGAGCAAAUGAAGUAAUAUUUGUAAAACGCUUGGCACAGAUGCUUUAAAAAAGUUUGUUAACUUCCUUUGGCAAAUACCCUAAAGUAACAACAGGAGAUAGUUGACUGUCCUGGGGGAAAGAGAAGGAUUGCAGAAAGAAGACCCGUGUUCCAGGGAAUGGCACAAUAAUAAUUGGAGUUGACCUGCCAGCCCUGCCUUCUCCCCGAUAGCAUCAUUAUCCCACCCACCUGCCGAGUCCAAUCCCUCCUUUGUUCUUUCCCCCACUACAGCUCUGACAAACCUCCCCUGCUUGUUAUCGUUGUCCUUUCCUUGCCAACUUCUGCUCAUUCCAAGAUUUCACACACCUGGAACUAUUUUUACAGGACCAUCAAACAUCUCCACCCAGCAUCCCUCACACUGAGCUUUUAUCCCCAGCCCAGAGCCUCCACCCUGAGCCCGGAGAUCCCUCCCUGACGCUGAGCUCCAUCCCUGACACAAUCCAUCCCUCUAGAACACCCAAUCUCCACCCCAGACACUAAUGCCCUCCCCAGAACUGAGCUCCCUCGUUCCCAGCCCUUGGCUCUCUUUAAUUAAAUCUCUUCCACUCUCAGAGAUCCAGGGAUACACAAAGCCAAAAGAAAAAAAAAAAAUGAAUGCUGCAUGAAUCACUAGAAAACUCCUGAGAACAGCAUCUUCACUUAUAUGUAAAGGUUUUUAACAAAGAAACUUGGGACUCUUUCCUACCCUGGGAUACUUUUUUUAAAGGGGAAGAAUUCUCAAUGGUAGAGGGAGAAGGGUCCCAGUUAGAAGGAUUCUCCAAGAGGUAGGAGGCAUCUGCACACACAGCCUGGAAAGCCUGGGAGUUGAGAAUCUCCCUGAAAGUUGGAGGUGGAGGGGGGGGGGCAUUCUGCCACACACCCCCCACAGCCUCCAUUUCCCCACCCCCUUCUAGGCAAAGAAAAUCUGGCUACAUCUGAGGAAUUCUUUUCAAAAGAUUUUCCUGAUGCGUUUUGUCUUCAUAUCGCAGUCAGAUCUGAGAGAACAAAGCCCCUCGUCCCCACCCAGACAGAAUCCAUCCUUGUAAUCCCCACAAAAGCUGAGCCAAAAACCUUAUACCCCGUCCGAAUGUCUGACAUGUAUAUGACACUCAACCCCAGAGGGAGGGAAGGCUUCAGUAUCCGAUCCCAGGGAACUUUAUUGCUUUAGCUUUUAAAAUAGAUUUUUAUUGAUAGUUUGCUUUUACAUCAUUUAGAUUUCACUGUUUCCCUUCUCUGUGCUCUCAGAGUCACACCUUGUCACAAAUGAUUUUUGACAGAGACCAAGAGAUAGAGGGGGAUGGAGGAAAGAGACAAGAAGGGAAGGGAAGAG
This is a long non-coding RNA of Sarcophilus harrisii (Tasmanian devil), 2298 nucleotides long. RefSeq lists it as uncharacterized. The transcript has 4 exons. Lineage: Eukaryota; Metazoa; Chordata; Mammalia; Dasyuromorphia; Dasyuridae. The record is from RefSeq and is a predicted model, not a curated record.